CGGGCCGUAGCCUAAUACAUAGCAAGUCAGCGAGACUGAAUUCAAAGAGUCCUUUCCGGGGAUGAGUUUUGUUGGUACGCGUAGCGGCGGAUAGGGUGAGUAACGACUGGGCAAUCUGCCCUAAAGACUGGGAUACCACUUGGAACAGGUGCUAAUACCGAUAACACAUGAAUCGCAUGAUUCAAGUUUGAAAGGCGGCGUAAGCUGUCACUUUAGGAUGAGCCCGCGGCGCAUUAGCUAGUUGGUGGGUAAAGGCCUACCAAGGCAAUGAUGCGUAGCCGAGUUGAGAGACUGAUCGGCCACAUUGGGACUGAGACACGGCCCAAACUCCUACGGGAGGCAGCAGUAGGGAAUCUUCCACAAUGGACGCAAGUCUGAUGGAGCAACGCCGCGUGAGUGAAGAAGGUUUUCGGAUCGUAAAGCUCUGUUGUUGGUGAAGAAGGGUAGAGGCAGUAACUGGUCUUUAUUUGACGGUAAUCAACCAGAAAGUCACGGCUAACUACGUG
RNAcentral lists this ribosomal RNA (506 nucleotides) under uncultured Lactobacillus sp. RNAcentral's name for it is "bacterial SSU rRNA". It matches the Rfam family "Bacterial small subunit ribosomal RNA", at positions 36 to 507 of the family's 1533-position model. The record is from RNAcentral. Lineage: Bacteria; Bacillati; Bacillota; Bacilli; Lactobacillales; Lactobacillaceae.